CGGGAGGCAGCAGUGGGGAAUAUUGCACAAUGGGCGCAAGCCUGAUGCACCCAUGCCGCGUGUAUGAAGAAGGCCUUCGGGUUGUAAAGUACUUUCAGCGGGGAGGAAGGCGAUAAGGUUAAUAACCUUGUCGAUUGACGUUACCCGCAGAAGAAGCACCGGCUAACUCCGUGCCAGCCGCCGCGGUAAUACGGAGGGUGCA
Molecule: ribosomal RNA, 202 nt
Filed under: Enterobacter sp.
Lineage: Bacteria; Pseudomonadati; Pseudomonadota; Gammaproteobacteria; Enterobacterales; Enterobacteriaceae
Description: partial 16S ribosomal RNA
Rfam family: Bacterial small subunit ribosomal RNA
Source: RNAcentral